RNAcentral lists this ribosomal RNA (279 nucleotides) under uncultured bacterium. RNAcentral's name for it is "partial 16S ribosomal RNA". It matches the Rfam family "Bacterial small subunit ribosomal RNA", at positions 506 to 784 of the family's 1533-position model. The record is from RNAcentral.
UGCCAGCCGCCGCGGUAAUACGGAGGGUGCAAGCGUUGCUCGGAAUUACUGGGCGUAAAGGGCGCGUAGGCGGCUUGGCAAGUCGGAUGUGAAAGCCCGGGGCUCAACCCCGGAAAUGCAUCCGAUACUGCCUCGCUUGAGAACGGGAGAAGGAUGCGGAAUUCCCAGUGUAGAGGUGAAAUUCGUUGAUAUUGGGAGGAACACCGGUGGCGAAAGCGGCAUCCCGGCCCAUUUCUGACGCUGAGGCGCGAAGGCGUGGGUAGCGAACGGGAUUAGAUA